GGGCCGCUAGCUCAUUUGGUAGAGCACUUCCAUGGCAUGGAAGGGGUGAAGGGUUCGAAUCCCUUGCGGUCCA
Non-coding RNA from Parcubacteria bacterium SG8_24, 73 nucleotides. The record is from Rfam. NCBI's taxonomy places the organism in Bacteria, Candidatus Parcubacteria.